GACGAACGCUGGCGGCGUGCCUAAUACAUGCAAGUCGAGCGGACGAAUCGAAAGCUUGCUUUUGUUUCGUUAGCGGCGGACGGGUGAGUAACACGUGGGCAACCUGCCCUGUAGACGGGGAUAACACCGAGAAAUCGGUGCUAAUACCGGAUGACACGAAAUGUCGCAUGACGUUUCGUUGAAAGACGGCGCAAGCUGUCGCUACAGGAUGGGCCCGCGGCGCAUUAGCUAGUUGGUGAGGUAACGGCUCACCAAGGCGACGAUGCGUAGCCGACCUGAGAGGGUGAUCGGCCACACUGGGACUGAGACACGGCCCAGACUCCUACGGGAGGCAGCAGUAGGGAAUCUUCCGCAAUGGACGAAAGUCUGACGGAGCAACGCCGCGUGAGCGAAGAAGGCCUUCGGGUCGUAAAGCUCUGUUGUUAGGGAAGAACAAGUAACGCAGUAACUGGCGUUACCGUGACGGUACCUAACGAGAAAGCCACGGCUAACUACGUG
RNAcentral lists this ribosomal RNA (498 nucleotides) under uncultured bacterium. RNAcentral's name for it is "partial 16S ribosomal RNA". It matches the Rfam family "Bacterial small subunit ribosomal RNA", at positions 28 to 507 of the family's 1533-position model. The record is from RNAcentral.